GUGCUCACUCUGGCAGCACAUAUUCUAGAACUGGAAUGAUACAGAGAAGCUUAUCAUGGUCCCUAUGCAUGGAGGACACACAAAUUUGUAAUGCAUUCCACAGUUUU
Equus asinus (donkey) is the source of this 107-nucleotide small nuclear RNA. The record is from Ensembl. NCBI's taxonomy places the organism in Eukaryota, Metazoa, Chordata, Mammalia, Perissodactyla, Equidae.